Stygiomarasmius scandens is the source of this 74-nucleotide non-coding RNA. NCBI's taxonomy places the organism in Eukaryota, Fungi, Basidiomycota, Agaricomycetes, Agaricales, Campanellaceae. The record is from the annotation of a GenBank genome assembly.
AAGACUGUAGCAUAAUCGGUAAUGCAAUUCGCUCAUAAUGGAUCUUAUUGAGGGUUCGAGUCCCUUCGGUCUUA